AAUUGUAAAAAAAAACGAAAAUCAAUAUGACUUCGGAAGAUUUUAUAAAUUAUAAAAUAAGAACAUUCUGUGAUUGCAUACACAUGAUAGUCACUAGAUUGCUCAAUAUUACGAAGUGCUUCUUUUUAAUGUUUUUUCUAUGAAAUGUCAGAUGAGUUAUUAUUCAACUAAACACAAUCUUGAUAAACCUGGCAAUUCUCAAGAUGUGGCAGGCAAUGAAAAGCCUCGGAGAAAUCCAAAAGUGAAAAGGUUCUGGAGGGCGAUCACAGAAUUCAACAUUAAGCGAAAAUGUUACCUCUUGUCCUUCAUACAGGCGGUGAGCGGUCUUCGUUCAUCAAUUUUUCGGAUUUCCCAUCAAUAAAUGUUUUCCGUAAUACUUUGCAUAUUACCAAUAAUUGAGCUAUUUUAUUUUAACGAGAACUUUGUUGAACGAAUGGGAAUAUUUCUAGGGACGUUUCUAGUGCCAACAAUGGUGACAGUGAAUACAUUAUUGUAUAUAUUUGACAUAUUUGUCCAAUGGUUGUUGAUUUAUAGCGUGAUGAAGACGAAAUUGCGUGAAAUCCAAAUGGUAAUAGUUUAUUCCUUAUUUGCUCCUAUGAUCGAAGCGGUAAGAGUAAUUAUUUGUGUCAAUUUCGAAUUCAUCAUGGAAAUUGUCAUAUUCAGCAUUGCCUUAAUUUAUAGAUUGCUGAUUUUGUCCACCCUGCAACGUUUUCGGAGGACGCUUUCGACAGGGGUGGGAUCCGUAGAAGAAAACGGUUGAAGAUCUCCGUGAAAAAUUAAA
Cimex lectularius (bed bug) is the source of this 781-nucleotide RNA transcript. RefSeq lists it as uncharacterized. Lineage: Eukaryota; Metazoa; Arthropoda; Insecta; Hemiptera; Cimicidae. The transcript is spliced from 6 exons. The record is from RefSeq and is a predicted model, not a curated record.